RNAcentral lists this ribosomal RNA (499 nucleotides) under uncultured bacterium. RNAcentral's name for it is "partial 16S ribosomal RNA". It matches the Rfam family "Bacterial small subunit ribosomal RNA", at positions 29 to 523 of the family's 1533-position model. The record is from RNAcentral.
AUUGAACGCUGGCGGCAUGCCUUACACAUGCAAGUCGAACGCGAAAGGGGGGCAACUCCUGAGUAGAGUGGCGCACGGGUGAGUAAUGCAUCGGAACGUGUCCUGUAGCGGGGGAUAACCUAGCGAAAGCUAGGCUAAUACCGCAUACGUCCUACGGGAGAAAGUGGGGGAUCGUAAGACCUCACACUAUAGGAGCGGCCGAUGCCGGAUUAGCUAGUUGGUGGGGUAAAAGCCUACCAAGGCGACGAUCCGUAGCUGGUCGGAGAGGAUGAGCAGCCACACUGGGACUGAGACACGGCCCAGACUCCUACGGGAGGCAGCAGUGGGGAAUUUUGGACAAUGGGGGAAACCCUGAUCCAGCCAUGCCGCGUGAGUGAAGAAGGCCUUCGGGUUGUAAAGCUCUUUCGGCCGGGACGAAAUCGCACGCGUGAAUAUCGCGUGUGGAUGACGGUACCGGAAGAAGAAGGACCGGCUAACUACGUGCCAGCCGCCGCAGUAA